RNAcentral lists this ribosomal RNA (598 nucleotides) under Hanseniaspora uvarum. RNAcentral describes it as "eukaryotic LSU rRNA". It matches the Rfam family "Eukaryotic large subunit ribosomal RNA", at positions 45 to 658 of the family's 3401-position model. Lineage: Eukaryota; Fungi; Ascomycota; Saccharomycetes; Saccharomycodales; Saccharomycodaceae. The record is from RNAcentral.
AAUAGCGGAGGAAAAGAAACCAACUGGGAUUACCUUAGUAACGGCGAGUGAAGCGGUAAAAGCUCAAAUUUGAAAUCUGGUACUUUCAGUGCCCGAGUUGUAAUUUGUAGAAUUUGUCUUUGAUUAGGUCCUUGUCUAUGUUCCUUGGAACAGGACGUCAUAGAGGGUGAGAAUCCCGUUUGGCGAGGAUACCUUUUCUCUGUAAGACUUUUUCGAAGAGUCGAGUUGUUUGGGAAUGCAGCUCAAAGUGGGUGGUAAAUUCCAUCUAAAGCUAAAUAUUGGCGAGAGACCGAUAGCGAACAAGUACAGUGAUGGAAAGAUGAAAAGAACUUUGAAAAGAGAGUGAAAAAGUACGUGAAAUUGUUGAAAGGGAAGGGCAUUUGAUCAGACAUGGUGUUUUUUGCAUGCACUCGCCUCUCGUGGGCUUGGGCCUCUCAAAAAUUUCACUGGGCCAACAUCAAUUCUGGCAGCAGGAUAAAUCAUUAAGAAUGUAGCUACUUCGGUAGUGUUAUAGCUUUUUGGAAUACUGUUAGCCGGGAUUGAGGACUGCGCUUCGGCAAGGAUGUUGGCAUAAUGGUUAAAUGCCGCCCGUCUUGAA